UGUGGAUAAUUUCAUUCAAAAGAAUGCAUUAUAGAACAACAUAUCAGUAGAACUUUUGUUAUCUAUUGGGACUCUUUUUAUAUCAUAAUUUGCUCUUUCAUUGAAAUGAUAAAUUAUCAUCAUGGAGAGAUUGAACUCCCCGCACAUCAUCAUCAUAAAAAGAAAUAACUCUAUCAUCUGUUUCCUCUUUGGGGUAUGCUUUAGGCUCUUUGUCUCC
RNAcentral lists this long non-coding RNA (217 nucleotides) under Elaeis guineensis (African oil palm). RNAcentral's name for it is "long non-coding RNA (EGUI_LNC059797)". Lineage: Eukaryota; Viridiplantae; Streptophyta; Magnoliopsida; Arecales; Arecaceae. The record is from RNAcentral.